RNAcentral lists this ribosomal RNA (436 nucleotides) under uncultured Elusimicrobium sp. RNAcentral describes it as "bacterial SSU rRNA". It matches the Rfam family "Bacterial small subunit ribosomal RNA", at positions 958 to 1385 of the family's 1533-position model. Lineage: Bacteria; Pseudomonadati; Elusimicrobiota; Elusimicrobia; Elusimicrobiales; Elusimicrobiaceae. The record is from RNAcentral.
AACGCGAAGAACCUUACCUGGGCUUGAACCGUUGGAAGUAGAAUUGAUGAAAGUCGAGACGACCUGUAAAGUCAGGAACCAAUAGAGGUGCUGCAUGGCUGUCGUCAGCUCGUGUCGUGAGAUGUUGGGUUAAGUCCCGCAACGAGCGCAACCCUUACCCUAUGUUGCUACGUCUGUAAUGGACAGCACUCUUAGGGAACUGCCUCGGACAACGGGGAGGAAGGUGGGGAUGACGUCAAGUCACCAUGGCCUUUAUGUCCAGGGCUACACACGUGCUACAAUGGCCGGUACAACGAGCAGCAAAUCCGCAAGGAGGAGCAAAUCUCUAAAAGCCGGCCCCAGUUCAGAUAGUGGGCUGCAAUUCGCCCACUUGAAGGCGGAAUCGCUAGUAAUCGGAGAUCAGCUGGCUCCGGUGAAUACGUUCCCGGGCCUUGUA